AGUAGCGGCGAGCGAAGCGGGAAGAGCCCAAUAUGAAAAGCCAGCUUGCUGGCGUUGUAGUUGAGCGUCUUUGGGGUGUCAGUUUGGGAAAGUGGCAUGAGAGUGCUCACCGGGGAGGGUGAAAGUCCCGUCCAUCCCAUUCAGGACACCUCGCACAAAGGCGUUUCAGACGAGUCGGGUAGCUUGGGAAUGCUGCUCUAAUUGGUGGUAAAUCUCAUCAAAGGCUAAAUACUGGUGGGAGACCGAUAGCGAACAAGUACCGUGAGGGAAAGAUGAAAAGUACUUUGAAAAGAGGGUAAAAAGAACCUGAAACCGUUACGGGGGAAGCGGAUUGCGUUGGCCUGGUGGCUGCCUGUGUGUUCAGCCUUUUAUGGUGCAUUGAUACAGGUGGUUAUUCGUCGUGGCUUUUUAGUGGCUGAUAAUGAGCUGCUGAAGGGUGAGGGCUCCCCUUUUGGGUGAGGACGACGGAGUGACGACGCGAUACGACCCGUCUUGAAACACGGACCAAGGAGUCUAGCGCAGGUGCGAGUCAAAGGGUGUUAAAACCUGUGGGCGUAGUGAA
RNAcentral lists this ribosomal RNA (562 nucleotides) under Grateloupia gibbesii. RNAcentral's name for it is "partial large subunit ribosomal RNA". It matches the Rfam family "Eukaryotic large subunit ribosomal RNA", at positions 82 to 723 of the family's 3401-position model. Lineage: Eukaryota; Rhodophyta; Florideophyceae; Halymeniales; Halymeniaceae. The record is from RNAcentral.